Molecule: long non-coding RNA, 548 nt
Filed under: Struthio camelus australis
Lineage: Eukaryota; Metazoa; Chordata; Aves; Struthioniformes; Struthionidae
Description: lncRNA (ENSSCUG00000009411.1)
Source: RNAcentral
AUGGGGCCAGGGACCUCGAGAUGAGUCUUGGGGACCCCAAGGGUGGCCCUGUGGGGCCUGAGGACCUCACGAUGGGGCUGGAGACCCCCAAGGGUGCUCCUAUGGGGCCAGGGGACCCCCAGGGCACUGGAGACCACCCACCACGGCACAGAGAGCCGGACGCCACAGAGCAGCACUGCUUUAUUGCUCGCCCCGAUCCGGGAUCCCAAACUGGGGUGGGUUCAACCCAACUGGGGCGGGAUCAACCCAACCGGAGUGGGAUCAACCCAACCGGAGUGGGAUCAACCCAACUGGGGGGGAUCAACCCAACCACAGUGAGAUCAACACAACUGGGGCAGGAUCAACCCAACUGGGGUAGGAUCAUCCAAUCGGGAGAGGGAACAACCCAACCGGUGCAGGAUCAACCCAACCGGUACGGGAUCAUCCCAACCAGGGUGGGAUCAACCCAACUGGGUGGGAUCAACCCAACCAGGGUGGGAUCAACACAACUAGGGAAGGAUCAUCCAAUCGGGAGAGGGAACAACCCAACCAGGGUGGGAUCAACCCAA